CAUUGUUUGAUGAAAAACAAAUCUUAAAAAGCAUGAUUAGAGGAGAAGUGAGUGAAUCAACCUUAAACGCUUGAGUGACUAGAGCGUAUACACAUCUGAUGAGGGGUUCGAUU
This is a non-coding RNA of Arachis ipaensis, 113 nucleotides long. The record is from RefSeq and is a predicted model, not a curated record. Lineage: Eukaryota; Viridiplantae; Streptophyta; Magnoliopsida; Fabales; Fabaceae.